AGCUCACUGGUCGAGUCGGCCUGCGCGGAAGAUGUAACGGGGCUAAACCAUGCACCGAAGCUGCGGCAGCGACACUAUGUGUUGUUGGGUAGGGGAGCGUUCUGUAAGCCUGCGAAGGUGACCUGUGAGGGUUGCUGGAGGUAUCAGAAGUGCGAAUGCUGACAUAAGUAACGAUAAAGCGGGUGAAAAGCCCGCUCGCCGGAAGACCAAGGGUUCCUGUCCAACGUUAAUCGGGGCAGGGUGAGUCGACCC
RNAcentral lists this ribosomal RNA (252 nucleotides) under Klebsiella pneumoniae subsp. pneumoniae. Its description in RNAcentral is "partial 23S ribosomal RNA". It matches the Rfam family "Bacterial large subunit ribosomal RNA", at positions 1139 to 1390 of the family's 2925-position model. The record is from RNAcentral. Lineage: Bacteria; Pseudomonadati; Pseudomonadota; Gammaproteobacteria; Enterobacterales; Enterobacteriaceae.